UACGUAGGUGGCAAGCGUUGUCCGGAUUUACUGGGCGUAAAGAGCGCGCAGGCGGUCGUUCAAGUCGCGUGUGAAAGCCCCCGGCUCAACUGGGGAGGGUCACGCGAUACUGAUCGACUCGAAGGCAGGAGAGGGAAGUGGAAUUCCCGGUGUAGUGGUGAAAUGCGUAGAUAUCGGGAGGAACACCAGUGGCGAAGGCGACUUCCUGGCCUGUUCUUGACGCUGAGGCGCGAAAAGCUAGGGGAGC
RNAcentral lists this ribosomal RNA (247 nucleotides) under uncultured bacterium. Its description in RNAcentral is "partial 16S ribosomal RNA". It matches the Rfam family "Bacterial small subunit ribosomal RNA", at positions 524 to 769 of the family's 1533-position model. The record is from RNAcentral.